RNAcentral lists this ribosomal RNA (497 nucleotides) under uncultured bacterium. Its description in RNAcentral is "partial 16S ribosomal RNA". It matches the Rfam family "Bacterial small subunit ribosomal RNA", at positions 28 to 507 of the family's 1533-position model. The record is from RNAcentral.
GAUGAACGCUGGCGGCGUGCCUAAUACAUGCAAGUCGAGCGAACAGACGAGGAGCUUGCUCCUCUGACGUUAGCGGCGGACGGGUGAGUAACACGUGGAUAACCUACCUAUAAGACUGGGAUAACUUCGGGAAACCGGAGCUAAUACCGGAGAAUAUAUUGAACCGCAUGGUUCAAUAGUGAAAGACGGUUUUGCUGUCACUUAUAGAUGGAUCCGCGCCGCAUUCGCUAGUUGGUAAGGUAACGGCUUACCAAGGCAACGAUGGGUAGCCGACCUGAGAGGGUCAUCCACCACAUUGGAAGUGAGACUCGGCACAGACUCCUACGGUAGGCAGCGGUAGGGAAUCCUACGCGAGGGGGGAAAGGCGGAUGGAGCAACGUGGCGGGAGUGAUGAAGGUCUUCGGAUGGGAAAGCUAUGUUAGUAGGGAAGAACAAAUGUGUAAGUAACCAUGCACGUAUUGACGGUACCGAAUCAGAAAGCCACGGCUAACUACGUG